AACUGAGCAAAAAUAUCAAAUGUAUGGAAACAUGACGGAGACGAAUGACGGCAUAAAUACAAUUACGUGAAAGGUUACUAUACAUUCGUUCCAUAAAGCCCAGGAAAUAUCCCUUCCGUAUAGUAUCUCUUAAUAUUAAUAGUAUAUAGUAUAGCCCAUCCAAAACCAUAAAGUAACGAUGUUCGUACCCAAUAACAUUUUAUUGUGUACAGUAAACCUAUGAAGAGAAGUUGAGGUUUCAUAAAAAUAUGUUAUGUUUAUCAACUUCAAUUAAAAUGCUUUCUUUUUUCCGCCUAAUACCCUCACACACUGAACUUAAUAACUAAACCGGUACGUCUAUUUCUUAACCUAGACGGUGUAAUCUUAAGUGUUGGUUUCCACAGAGGCGUAGGUUAGUUGUACAUUCAGGGGAUGGAUCCUUCCUAUCCGACCAAGUGAACUCCUCUUAUAGAAGAUACUAGUAUGGCGUUGGUACAGUAGGUACUUGUCCGAGGCAUUCUAGGGUAUCUCAUCUUUACCUUAUUCAGUACACUGUACGAGGUCAAGAGAUAAAUAAUGUGAAUGGAAAAAUAAUAUCAUACCUUUACGUAAGUAAAAGAAACGUAGCUAACACUAGGCGUUAUGAUAGCCUCAUUUUCUUCCCUAGAUUCCUUCUUACAUCCGAUUUGAAAAACUAAAAAAUAAUCAUUGUUCAUUUAUAAAACAAACCUCCAUUCUUUGAACGCUAUAACUCCCCUAUUUAUGGUUGAUUAGUUCUCUGUACUCUGUUAGGUGUUUCGUUAACUAGUACUAGUUUAAACAUUCGGGUGAACCUAUAACUCGUAAAUGGGUAUUCUUAUCCUAAUAAAAGUUACUCAUCAACAUCCACGUUGAAGCCUUUUCUCUUAGACUAUUUCGAAAAGAACGGAUCUCAGUAACUCAGUAAUAUAUGGAAUUAAGAUAAUUCCUAGAAGGCGCCAGAAUAAAGAAAGUGAGAACGAGCUCGGCCUACUACUAUUUAAGAGUACAGGCCAAGGAAACCCCCUACCUAGGAUUUCUCAAGUGGAUAGGGUUAUUGUUUCUUUGGUCUGAAUUUACUAGGACAUAAUUCUCGAUUUAAUCGAUUUCCCUACCCUGUAUUAAUAAUGCCCCUUGGGCGUACCGGGUUGCUAGAAAAUAUAUAAAAAGGUCAUCAUUAAGAUCCAUGAUAACGUACAUUACAUCCAAAUCGCCAAGAGCUCGGUAGUUACUAACCACUUGGCCGUCUAGGCAAACGUUGAGGAGACCUUUAUAAUGGGCUCACCAUGAAGAAAGGGCACAAAGUUUAUGAGGCAUGCCAUGGGUUAUUCAAUAACCCGCAAGAAAAUUACCAAAGACACGGUUGUCCGAAUAACUGUCAUGGAAAAGAUCUCUUACAGUUAUUUAAGGUUUUAGGUAAAGCGGCGGGUCAUCGAUGCUGGCAAAAAAAUUAGCCAUGACAUCAUCGAGAAACCAAUCCAUAACCUCGUUGUAAUGGGUAACUAUUUAGUAAUUGAAAUCCAGAAAAAAUC
Molecule: ribosomal RNA, 1529 nt
Filed under: Triticum aestivum (bread wheat)
Lineage: Eukaryota; Viridiplantae; Streptophyta; Magnoliopsida; Poales; Poaceae
Description: partial small subunit ribosomal RNA
Source: RNAcentral